UCUGAUAUUCAAAUCCCCUUAAUUUUCAUCUGAUCUUCAAACCCUUAAUUUUGAUCUUUCAGUCAGCAUUUCUACUUUAUACAAUCUCAUUUCAAAUAGUUUCCAUUCAAAUCUCUUUCUCUCUCUUUCUGUUAAUUUUCAAGCACCGGAGCUUUGGCCCUCUCUGUUCCUGCUGUCUGAUUUCUCUUCGUCUAAUAAUAUUUUGCUUGUGCUUUAUUUUCUUUUCAGUUGCGCUGUUAUUUAUAUUGUUUCCUAUUCUUUUCGUUUCUGUUCUUGUUUUCUUCUCGUAACCAUGGAUGCAGGAUCUUUGAGUUCUUCUGGAGCCCUCAAAGAUCGGAUGACGCUAUCCUCUUCGAGAACAGUUUAUUCAAAGAAAGAGUUCCCAAAAAAAUGUAAAGAAAUUAUGGCAAGAUUUUUUUCCCUGAUUAUAAUUUGUGUAUAUUUUGCAUGAUUGUCGGGGCAACAUUUUAGAUUAGUGUUUAAAAUCUAAGUAAUUAGAAGUUCUAAUUUUGUAGAAAUGUUCAGAAAACUUGAAAUUAGUUUAAUAUUUUCAAAGAUUUUGAAUGGCUUUGAAAACUAAAGAUGAUAAAUCUUCAUGUCUUACUUUGAAUUUGUUUAUGGAAAGCCACCUGCACCAGCUGACUUAAUUCCGGGAAAAUGCACCAUCUCUUCCUCUAUUAUUUCCCAACACUACAAUUUGAACCCUUUGGGGGCAUGCCGUUUUUAACACAUGCACCUCCUCCUGCAAUGUUCUUUCAGGUUGCCAAACCUCUCUCGCCAAUACAAUAGUCAACCAAAUUGAUUAUUACUUCAAUUGAUUAUUAUUUCAAGUAAAUUAUUGUUUGUUCUUCGUUAUUUACUGUAGUGUUUCCCAACAAAUCUUUGCAGUUGAAUUUUAUCUUCAAUGUUCUUUUGUUUAUGCAGUGAUGCUAAUUCAGUUGCGCUGUUAUUUAUAUUGUUUCCUAUUCUUUUCGGUUUUUGUUCUUGUUUUCUUCUCGUAACCAUGGAUGCAGGAUCUUUGAGUUCUUCUGGAGCCCUCAAUAUCGGAUAAUGCAGGAUCUUUGAGUUCUUCUGGAGCCCUCAAUAUCGGAUGACGCUAUCCGAACAGUUUAUUCAAAGAAAGAGUUCCAAAAAAAAUGUUGCCAAACCUCUCUCGCCGAUACAAUAGUCAACCAAAUUGAUUAUUACUUCAAUGAUGCUAAUUUAGUGAGGGAUGAGUAUUUAAGGUUCAACAUGGAUGAACAAAGAUGGGUUCCAAUUUCUUUGAUUGCAAGCUUCCUCGUGUCUUCUUCUUACUCUUGCUAUUGCCAUUUUGUUAUAUCUACAGUAGAUUUCAGUGGCUUCAGUUCUUCUACAUGUCAACAUCGAGAGAAUUACUACGACUGGACAGUGUUUUACGCUCUCCAGUAUACUCAUCAUUCACGGAAACAUUUGAUGGAUCAUCAACUAUUAGGGCGUUUAAAUCUGAAUCCGCCGUGAACAAGAUCCCCUUCUAGUCGGAGGAAAAAGCCGAUGUUAGCAAGAUGCUAGUGCUCAUGCCAAGAGAGGCUGCAAAUAGCCACUCUCCCAGAUUCCAUGCAAGUGCUAGAAUCCGAUCUGACUCCUCACGCUGGCAAGGAUAGAAAUGACAUACAUAAAGGGAGGUCCUAACUGAAUGAAUUGAGGUUGAGUAAAAGCCAUUCGCUUGAGAACAAUUCUGCGAUUGGAACUCGAUCUGGGAUUGGGAUCUUAGGGCACUGAGAACCUACUGUAUAGUACAUUCAAGAGUACUCCUAAAAAAAGAAAGAAAAAAAAGGCACACCCUAAGUCAUUUUAUAGUAAUGAUAAUAAAUAGAACUUUGUAUCAUGUUGAAGAACUUUACUCAACAAGGGUACUUAAGAUAUAUAUUGCAUAUCAAUAAGAUUUGAGGACGAGAAGAUAGCUAUUUGUUUAAAA
Vigna unguiculata (cowpea) is the source of this 1936-nucleotide unclassified non-coding RNA. The record is from RefSeq and is a predicted model, not a curated record. Lineage: Eukaryota; Viridiplantae; Streptophyta; Magnoliopsida; Fabales; Fabaceae.